This 468-nucleotide ribosomal RNA is filed under the name uncultured bacterium. RNAcentral describes it as "partial 16S ribosomal RNA". It matches the Rfam family "Bacterial small subunit ribosomal RNA", at positions 28 to 507 of the family's 1533-position model. The record is from RNAcentral.
GACGAACGCUGGCGGCGUGCUUAACACAUGCAAGUCGAACGGAAAGGCCCUGCUUUUGUGGGGUGCUCGAGUGGAGAACGGGUGAGUAACACGUGAGUAACCUGCCCUUGACUUUGGGAUAACUUCAGGAAACUGGGGCUAAUACCGGAUAGGAGCUCCUGCGGCAGGGGGGGGGUUGGAAAGUGUCGGCGGUUGGGGAUGGACUCGCGGCUUAUCAGCCGGUUGGUGGGGGAGUGGCUGACCAAGGCUUUGACGGGUAGCCGGCCUGAGAGGGUGACCGGCCACAUUGGGACUGCGAUACGGCCCAGACUCCUACGGGAGGCAGCAGUGGGGAAUAUUGCACAAUGGGCGGAAGCCUGAUGCAGCAACGCCGCGUGCGGGAUGACGGCCUUCGGGUUGUAGACCGCUUUCGCCUGUGACGAAGCGUGAGUGACGGUAAUGGGUAAAGAAGCACCGGCUAACUACGUG